AUACGUAGGGGGCGAGCGUUGUCCGGAAUGACUGGGCGUAAAGGGCGUGUAGGCGGUUGUCUAAGUCUGGAGUGAAAGUCCUGCUUUCAAGGUGGGAAUAGCUUUGGAUACUGGAUGACUUGAGUGCGGAAGAGGUAAGUGGAAUUCCCAGUGUAGCGGUGAAAUGCGUAGAGAUUGGGAGGAACACCAGUGGCGAAGGCGACUUACUGGGCCGCAACUGACGCUGAGGCGCGAAAGCGUGGGGAGCGAACAGGAUUAGAUACCCUGGUAGUCCACGCGGUAAACGAUGAAUGCUAGGUGUUGCGGGUAUCGACCCCUGCAGUGCCGGAGUAAACACAAUAAGCAUUCCGCCUGGGGAGUACGGCCGCAAGGUUGAAACUCAAAGGAAUUGACGGGG
RNAcentral lists this ribosomal RNA (397 nucleotides) under uncultured bacterium. RNAcentral describes it as "partial 16S ribosomal RNA". It matches the Rfam family "Bacterial small subunit ribosomal RNA", at positions 523 to 918 of the family's 1533-position model. The record is from RNAcentral.